CACGCUGUAAACGAUGAAAACUAAGUAUUGCCGCGAGGCAGUGCUGUAGCUAACGCAUUAAGUUUUCCGCCUGGGGAGUACGCUCGCAAGAGUGAAACUUAAAGGAAUUGACGGGGGCCCGCACAAGCAGUGGAGCAUGUGGUUUAAUUCGAAGCAACGCGAAGAACCUUACCAGGUCUUGACAUCCCAGUGACCACUCUAGAGAUAGAGUUUUCCCUUCGGGGACAUUGGUGACAGGUGG
RNAcentral lists this ribosomal RNA (241 nucleotides) under uncultured bacterium. Its description in RNAcentral is "partial 16S ribosomal RNA". It matches the Rfam family "Bacterial small subunit ribosomal RNA", at positions 796 to 1041 of the family's 1533-position model. The record is from RNAcentral.